AUUCCAAUCAGACCCUAGUUAAUCUAGAAUACUUUAUGAAUCGGGCAAAAACAAACUGGUACAAACAACCAAAUUAAGAUUCAAUGCUGCCACCAAAGCAAUUUAUAACUUACUUUAAUACACCGAAGCUUUAGUGCCAAAACUACAUCACUAACAAACAUAUAUUCCACUCAAAUAUGAAUUGAAUCUAAUUUAGCACAAUUGAUAAAUGAAAACAAGCAUUGAAUAUAAAACAACAUAUUGCACCUCCAGUAUCGAAAAAAUUUAGGCAGGAUCAGUUGUAGCUAGAAUUAACAGCCUCCUCAAAAAGCAGGCAAUGGCUGCGCAUAAUAAGCUCCUAAUUAACCAAGCAAGCUUAAGAUAUUAGUUGUCUUUGACAACAUGAAAUUUUCAUUUACAAAAAUCAAAAUAACAAAAAACUCAAAUCUAUAGUUAGUUUAUAGUUUGAGAAGAUGAUACACUAUCUUUCUAGUUUUGCCUAUCAGAAGGUGAUAUCAUCUAAUAUCUUAAAAAAAUUAGUUAGUGGGAUUAGAUUGUACUUCGUUACUUUUUUUUUUCUUUUUAAAUGCACCUUUAGUUGAUCCGCUUGAUUACUGGAUGCCACAGAUUAAAAGUAUAUUCAGUGGUUAUCAUCUACAUAACAUAAAAAGACUGAUGUGAAUUGGCAUAAGAUCUCAGCGUUGUCAUAAUCAUGGACAUUGGACUGGGAGAGGGCAAUACUUGCAGCAAUUCCACCUUCAAGAUGCUGGGAACUAGAGCUUUCACCUCCAUUCACACUCUUCUGUCACAAUCCAGAACAAAUAUAAGCGAUGAAUGACGUUAUAAUGUACGGAGUAAUGCCUCAUUCUCACAUCAAAUCCAUGUAACCAACAAACAGAAAACUCCACAAAAAUUUCAAGAUCAUGCAAAUUAAAAUAAACUCAAAAUAAAUAUAAAACUCCACAUUGUAGUGUCAGGUGAAAGCUCAAAGUCGCAGCUUAAAACUGUUUUCAGGCAUCAUCAUCAACUAGCUCAAUGAAGUUUUGCUUGAAUCACUCUACUUGUCUAAUAAGGCAAUGCUCUUCAAAAACAUCGGGAACAUCACAGGGCAUAAACAUAAAAUAAAACUAAAAAUCAAAAUUCAAAUUUUAACCCAUCUAAGCUAUGAAAUUCAAGCUCUGAGUUAGCAUCAAUGUCAACCCCGUUUUAACCCAUCAUCAUCUAAGCUUCAAGAUAAUCACAGCUCAAUAAAGUCACCAAUUUCUUAUUUCGUUUUUUGAAUUCAGGCGUCACCGCAAAUAAACCCAGAACAAAUACUCAGGCGUGAACAACUAUAAACAAGCUAUUCUACAUUUUUUUAAAAAAAAUUAAGGCAGCAUAAAUAUACGCUCUAAAUGAACCCUAACAAGACUUGGUUCCGAUAUUGACCUGUUAUUAUUGGCUUUCCCAAAACCAUCCGAAGAUGUAGGAUGCCAACGAAACUCAGAUCAAGGUGCGGUGGCUGUUUUAGCUUCACUUCGCACAGAGAUAAAAAAUCGGGCGUGAAUUUAGUUUUACAAGUUAUACACUCCGCAUGUGACUCAAAAGAUGCAAAACUUUUGGCCUUUUCAGGUGCGAUUACCAAAAUUCCCUUAGCCAUCUUAAGACAACUAAGGUCGGGC
This 1640-nucleotide long non-coding RNA is filed under the name Citrus x clementina. RNAcentral describes it as "Citrus clementina (C. clementina) long non-coding RNA (CCLE_LNC004603)". Lineage: Eukaryota; Viridiplantae; Streptophyta; Magnoliopsida; Sapindales; Rutaceae. The record is from RNAcentral.